UACGAAGGGGGCUAGCGUUGCUCGGAAUCACUGGGCGUAAAGGGUGCGUAGGCGGGUCUUUAAGUCAGGGGUGAAAUCCUGGAGCUCAACUCCAGAACUGCCUUUGAUACUGAGGAUCUUGAGUUCGGGAGAGGUGAGUGGAACUGCGAGUGUAGAGGUGAAAUUCGUAGAUAUUCGCAAGAACACCAGUGGCGAAGGCGGCUCACUGGCCCGAUACUGACGCUGAGGCACGGAAAGCGUGGGGAGCCAAACAGGG
Molecule: ribosomal RNA, 256 nt
Filed under: uncultured bacterium
Lineage: Bacteria
Description: partial 16S ribosomal RNA
Rfam family: Bacterial small subunit ribosomal RNA
Source: RNAcentral